Molecule: ribosomal RNA, 485 nt
Filed under: uncultured bacterium
Lineage: Bacteria
Description: bacterial SSU rRNA
Rfam family: Bacterial small subunit ribosomal RNA
Source: RNAcentral
GAUGAACGCUAGCGACAGGCCUAACACAUGCAAGUCGAGGGGCAGCACAAGGAGCAAUCUGAGGUGGCGACCGGCGCACGGGUGAGUAACACGUAUGCAACCUGCCUGUAAGCGGGGAAUAACCCGUUGAAAGACGGACUAAUACCGCAUAAUACUAAAUUACUGCAUGGUAAUUUAUUUAAACAUUUAUGGCUUACAGAUGGGCAUGCGCAUGAUUAGCUAGUUGGAGAGGUAACGGCUCCCCAAGGCAACGAUCAUUAGGGGUUCUGAGAGGAAGGUCCCCCACACUGGUACUGAGACACGGACCAGACUCCUACGGGAGGCAGCAGUGAGGAAUAUUGGUCAAUGGACGAGAGUCUGAACCAGCCAAGUCGCGUGCAGGAAGAAUGUCCUAUGGAUUGUAAACUGCUUUUGCAGGGGAAUAAAGUGAGCCACGUGUGGUUUUUGUAUGUACUCUGCGAAUAAGGAUCGGCUAACUCCGUGCC